Dendroctonus ponderosae (mountain pine beetle) is the source of this 1211-nucleotide long non-coding RNA. RefSeq lists it as uncharacterized. The transcript has 2 exons. The record is from RefSeq and is a predicted model, not a curated record. Lineage: Eukaryota; Metazoa; Arthropoda; Insecta; Coleoptera; Curculionidae.
CCGUCCUCCCAACUUGAACAGUGAAUAAAGCGAGCGUAUGUGAAUGUUUAUAGGCAUCUCUUCCCCCUCAUAUGCGGAGCCAAUGACGUCGUCAUCGUCUCAAGCAGCCCUUCCAACCAGUUCGGGGGAUCCUCAGCAGCUGCAGGGGACCAUCGUAUGAUAUAACCUGAUGUGGGGGAGACGAGGAAACAGCCUGAGGAAGAAGUGGUUGUAGUCUUAACGCCUCCACUCACCGUAAAUAUUCAUUGAGAAUAACCGUUGUUCACUAACUAAACAAGCACACAAGGACUGGAUGAACAAGGUAAGAAUUGCACUUUUAAUACUGAUUGUACCCAAAUGGCUAGUUUAAAAGGGUUUAUUACGUAAUAAGAGGACUGUUACCUUUUUAUAUAAAUACAUAACAAUAAUUGUUCUAAUUAUUAGCUUGCUGGAUGUGGCUAAUAAAAAAAAUACAAAAUUAAUAACAUAAUAAAAAUCUACAUAAAUGCCGCAUCUUUCCUUGGUUAAAAAAAUACACAUAAUUUGAUAAAGCUAUUACGUAAAAGCAAAUGGAUGCUUCGUUAAAAAGGCACUUUUCUCUAAAUGUACACUGGCUUUGUCAGUGGUUGUGUAGCACCCAUUCUCCUCAUUUUCUUCAUUUACCGAUAAAAAUACAUCUAAAUUAAAAAGCUACACUAUAACAAUAAAUACAAUACUAUGUUCAGGUAGAUCGCGAUAAAAACACAUUGGACAGUUAAAAAAAUUGCAAAACACCUUGAAACAAUCAAUCGUCUCUAGAGUGGAAACCUCCAUAAUGAAUUAAUUUUAUUGUAAAUAUUGCACUUUUUUCGUCUAUCCAAUGCAGAUUUUCAAACUUAAUCGACUGAAGGUUAUUUACAUUCACAUGUACAAGACAGGUUGGUUACUAAUGAAGAAAAGGACCUACGCUUUUGUAAUAAUUACUUGAACACCCUGGCAUUUGAUUCUAUUAGGAUCUUUAGUGCCUAUUAAAAGCACUUCCACAUAAGUAAGAAAAAAGUCGCCGAAUAACAGCGAUUUUAAGUAGUCGAACUAGCAUUAAAUUAAUGAAAAUAACAGAAUCCAAUACCAAAACUGUCUCGAACUAAGAAUGAUCAAAAGAGUUCAAUCUCAAACGUAUUCGGUUUGCUUUCAUCAGUAACACUCGGAAUUUCAACAUGAAAACACGCUCUAUUUUAUGGCAAACUAAUAAC